RNAcentral lists this long non-coding RNA (9607 nucleotides) under Triticum aestivum (bread wheat). RNAcentral describes it as "long non-coding RNA (TAES_LNC000377)". Lineage: Eukaryota; Viridiplantae; Streptophyta; Magnoliopsida; Poales; Poaceae. The record is from RNAcentral.
CACAACUCUAGACACAAAUCAAAAUAAUACAAGCUUCAUAUUACAAGCCAGGGGCCUCGAGGGCUCGAAUACAAGCUCGAUACACAAGAGUCAGCGGAAGCAACAAUAUCUGAAUACAGACAUAAAGUUAGACAAGGAUGCCUUAAGAAGGUAGCACAAACAUCAAUGAUCGAAGAGGCAAGGCCUCCUGCCUGGGACCUCCUAACUACUCCUGGUCGUCGACGGCCUCCAAGUAGUAGUAUCCGUCGGCGGUGGCAUCUGACUUCAGGGAUCCACCAUCUGGUUGCAUCAACCGGAAAGAAGAAGGAAGGGGGAAAAGGGGUAGCAAAGCAACCGUGAGUACUCAUCCAAAGUACUCGCAAGCAUCAGAUCUAUACUAAGUAUGCGUUGGUAUCAAAUGGAAGGGCUGUAUCUGUGGACUGAACUGCAGAAUGCCAGAAUAGAGGGGAAGGCCUAAUCUAUCGAAGACUAGCAUCUUCAAGCAGCUCCAAGCAUCUUGUAGCAUGUAGAAGAGUAAAGAAUAGCAGUUUAAUUAUCAAGCAUGUUGUAGCAUUAAUGCCCAGAGAUCCUUCCUCGACUCCUUGCGAGAAAGCAAUCUCGGAGCCACAUAUCCAUCACAUAUCUCAAGUAUCCAUUUCUAGUUAUAUAAGAUCCGGAUACAAGUCUGAACGUCCAUUACCGUGGACACGGUAUUCGAAUAUAUAUCUUCCCUGCAGGGGUGCACCACGUUUUCCAACACGCUCAAUCACUCUGGUCGGACACACCUUUCUGGGGUCAAUGCCUGGCCUCGGAAGAUCAACACGUCGCAGGCCUACCUAGGCUCAGCAGAGAGGUCCCCGCCGGUCUACAUCCUAAGCACUCCGGGGUCUGGGCCCAUCGCCCGUAGCACUCCGGGUCGUUACGUGCAGGGCGGGUCCAGGCUCCACCACUAUAGGAUGGUGCCGGCCCAGCCGUGCCACAAUGCUGAACUGGACGUCUGACAAAGCUUCGGCUGAUACUGCAACGUCGAGGCCCAUAACUAUUCUCGUGUGGUGGUUAGUGCGUAAAGGCCAGAGGCCAAUUCAGAACAAAUACCCAAACCUGUUAGUGCAUUAACAAUUAAAAGUAGUGACAGCUGUCGGGACAAGUCCGGAGCUAUCACCCCCUCCUGGGUGAUACCGCUAAACAGCCAGUCACCACUGUCACAUCGCACGGGCGCUCUCCGGGCCCGCCCGGCUUUCACAACGGUCUCAAGUAAAGUCAAGGUAACUAUUUGUCCAGACAUCAAGGGGAAACCCCGAGAAAUCACUCCCGGUGGAUUCCACUCAAUGUAAUCAUCAAGGUGAACGUAAGAGGGACCACCCUCGAGGUUCACACUUGAGGUGUUGAACAACAGAGGCGUAUCGGGAAUGGUGAAAGAGGAAUUCACCCUCGAUGACCACGACCGAAUAGAUACACUACAGAAUAAUCAUCAAGAGUGCGUUAUGAGGGAUCACCCUCGGCACUCGAUAGUAGCUCUGCAGAGUCAAACAACAAAAGGGGCGUGAUGUGAUGUGAGGUGUCGGGCUCUGGUCGUCGAUCACGUUGAUCGAGUCGUCGAUGAUGAAGCAGGGGCAACAAGGACAAGGUGGAGGUCACUGAUGGAUCACUAACCAACCUAUACUAAGCAGUUUAGGAUAAGCAGGUAGGUAACAAUAGCAGAUACAAAAGCAGGCUAUGCAUCAGAAUAGGAGCAAUCAAUAACAGUAGCAAAAUCUAAUGCAAGCAUGAGAGAAUGGAAUGGGUGAUAUCGGGAUGAUCAAAGGGGGGGGCUUGCUUGAAAGCUCCGCUGAAAGGGAAGAAGUGUCCUCGGUGACGUAGUCGAUCACAGAGGCAUCGGGAUCAGUCUCGGGGUCUACCGGAGAUAAGAGGGGGAAGAAACAGUAAAUACAAGCAACAGAUGCAUGACAAGACAAUAAGCAGCGCGAGGGGUGUUCUAACGCGGUGCUACACGACACCGACAAAGGGGGAUAACAUCCGGGAAAGUUUUCCCGAAGUUUGGCAUUUUCGGAUAGAUGAACCGGAGGGGAAAGGUUCGAUGUUCGCUAUGCUAGGGGCAUGUGACAGAUGAACGGAGAGCGUAUUCCAAUUCGUCUCGUCGUUCUAAGCAUCUUUCAUGUAUAAAACUUUUUCAUCCGAGUUACGGAUUAAUUUCUAUGGAUUUCUAAAGUUUUAGCAAUAUUCUAGAUUUUUAAAUUACUUUUAAUUUGAGUUGACCAAGUCAAUUUGACUAGUCAAAAAGGAGAGCUUUGACCCACAUGUCAUGGACUAUUUACCAAAAAAAUAAGUAAACCUAACUCAUUUAAUGGGGGCCUACAUGUCAUCUACUAGUACUAGACUAACUUAGCACCAGUUAAUACUACUAGUUAAACCUAGUACUAAGAAGGGCCAGCCACUACUGGGCAGAACCCAGCCGGCCACACGCACAGUGCACACACACAACACGCAACGCUAGAGAAUAAAUAUGUUCUUUGUUUAACAGAAGAUAGCAAUUUAUGAUUUUCAUAGGAUGUAAUCCAUGCAUCAAGUGGAUUUGGUCCAAUGAAAAAAUUUGUACCUUGUCAAGUGUACUACCUACUCAUAUUAUUUUAUACACAUAUUAACAAUUGUUUAACCGCUGAUUAGAGGCUGUUUAGGGGCUUAGUCGACGUAGAAAUUAAAAAGCUAACUAUACAGCACCGCCAGUACUAGCAUCAGUACAGGCAGAGCAACGGUGGGCAGCGGCGUGGUGCGGGCGCGGCCAAGCGCUGGAGGGCGCGUGCGGGCACGCGGCCGGCGCGGGGCACACAAGGGCAGCAACCGGAGCGAGGCAGGACGAGGCCCGAACGCGGCGUCGCGAGCGACUGCAGGGCCUGAUGACGGCAGCAGCAAAGUAGCAGCUGCAUCAGCACAACAGCAGGCAGGGGAGGCGGCGCACGGCAAGCGGCUGGACACGCGCGGGGCGAGCAGAAGACCCCGGGCAGGCGCGACAAGUGCGGGGUCAAGGAGCCGCGGGCGCGUGACCAGGGCAUGGGGAGGACGGCAGAGCACGCGUGGGAGCGAGGUGGCUCAGACGCGCGAGCGCAGGCGCACAGGAGCAGACGGAGAGGUCCGGGCAGUGGUGACGUCCUACGGCGACGAGAAGAAAUAAAGGGAGAAGGGGGAAUGGACGGCGGCUCACAGCGGUGCCGGGGAGAAGCAUAGGGAGGCCGGAGAGGACGCGGCGCGGUAGAUCGACGACGAGGUCGCGGUGGCCGGGGCGGAGAAGAGUAGGUCGAAGGAGACGUUCGGUGGUUCCCCCUCCUUGAUCCAGGGGCGCAGGCGGCGUGGUUGAAGACGAGGGUCCUCCUGGACACCUCGGGUCGGCGAGGCCUGGCCGGUGGCCAUGGCUAUGGUGAGCGGUGGCGGCAGCUUUGCUCGGGGAAGGAGGAAGCGGCGCGAGUGGGGGAAGGGGAGUAGGGCUAGGGUUUGACAGGGAGAGAGAUGACGGGGGUUGGGGAUUGCUCUUAUCCAUUGGAGGAAGCCGCGGGAUAGCCGCCACGAGGCCGGGGCGAGGCCAUGGCGCCUGGAUCCCCUGCCACGACCCCUCCCGUGAACAGGAGGAAGGAGAUGGUGGGGGUUUAGGUGGGCUGGGCCUCCCUCAGGCCACGUGGGCCCCUUUUCUUUGGUUUAAUUUUUUAGAUUUCUAUCUGUUCUUCUACAAUUUUGUUUAAUUCUCCACUGUUUGUAAUUAGUUUAGCUAGUAAAUGAUUUGCGCUCAAUACGUAACUUGGUAAAAAAUAUGGUGCACCAUUUUGUAGAUGCAUGCAAAGUUUGAGGUCAUUUGGAAAGUUUAAACAUUUUUUAAAAUGAAACUGUCAAGUUAUUUGCUGCUAUCCCAUUUAUUGAUUUCCUAAGAAUUUAUUUGUGAGCCAAAUGAAGUUAGUUUUGCAUCACAAUUUCUUAUUGAAUAUUUGCAACACAAUGAACAUUUUUAAUUUCACUGUUCGAAGGAAUAAUAAUUUUACUUGAAAUUUAAAUUUGAAUUUGAUCGGUUGGAAUCAGAGUGAUUGCUAGCAAUAGUAAAAAUGAUGACAUGGCAUCAUUAUUAGGGGAUUACUGUAGCUUGAUUAUCCGGGCGUCACAAUUCUCCUCCACUACAAGAAAUCUCGUCCCGAGAUUUUGGAGGAAGAAGGAAACAAAACCGGGGUAUUCAUCAUGAAGACGAUCCUCGCGUGCCCUAGAGGCUUGAUCUUCAGAAGGAUUUGACCACUGAACUUUAGGCAAUUUGAUAGCCCUCUGACGGGUGCGACGCUCAGCUGGAGCGAGAACGCGGAUCGGAUGCUCCGAGUAGGUGAGAUCAUCGUGCAGGGUUUGAGCUUUAUAAGCCAUGGGGUUGUUGCAAUAAGACUUGCGACUCAGGGCAUCGGCCAUGACAAUAGCCUUGCCAGGAGUAUGAGAAAUGCCGUAGUCAUAGUUUGUAAUUCUUUCCAUAGAUCGCUGAUGACGGGGAUCCAGAUUUAGCUGAGUAAUCAGAUACUUUAGACUUUGAUGAUCCGUGAAGAUCUCGCAAUGGUUACCGAGAAGGUAAUGACGCCACAACUUUAGUGCAAACUUAACUACAGCAAGUUCAAGGUCAUGGACUGUGCAGUUCUUCUGGAAAGAAAUCCUGGAGUUCACAAAUGAAUGCAGCGUUUUCAAUUCUCACAAGAGGAGAAGCGUUUUAAUGCAUUCAAGGAAUAAUCCGUGCUUCGACAUUUCGAACAAGAUGAGCAGGGUAGCUCACAAUCUCAUUUGAAGGAUGUAGUAGUUUGAUAGUUUUAGUGGCAGAAACAAUUGAAGGGGUAUGUGUUUUUGACCAUUCUAUGCCCAGAAUGAGGUCAAUAUAGGACGACUUCAAAACAAUGGGGGGCGAAACAUGGAAUUCCAACCCUUCAAUUUCAACAGGGACGUUGUCACUUACCAUGGUGGUCCAACAUUAGCCCGCGAAAAGCAGCUUGGAAUUUCGGCCAAGUGAUGGCGGAUCCAAGAGGUAAGAAACGCCUGUGGCUGUCCCACCAUUGAGCAGAGGGACCUUUCAGGUAAUAAGUCGCGAAGGUGACAUAGUUGGUAGGGGCUACAUCAGUAGACUCCCACUCGAAAGUGAUGUCAAGGAGCCAGUCAUCAACAUCAAGGGGCUGAGCUAAGCUGCGGUAGAUGGCAGGAUUGAGACGCGCAAAGUUUUGCAGAGUCACUGGGGCUGGUUGCUGAUUCAUAUUGGGGCGUGGAAACUAAGCCAUGACUCAUACCAUGAACUGGCGAUUCAACAUCAAACUAUUGUAUCAUUACGGCCAUGUAUUCGGGCGGCCAUGACCAGCGGGUCUAACCAUCCUGCUUAAAUGCAACAGGGGGUAGUUUAGCAAAGGGUGGAGCAAGUGUUUGGAGUCAUUCAUGAUAUUACUAGAGCAAUGGGCAAAGGCGCAAUAUGUACAAGGCAGUAGUCAUUAAAGACAUACCGAUACAAAUGCGAGGCCAAUUACAUGUCGUUCAUAAGAGUUCGGACAAGAGAAACAUCGCAGACAUACUAGGCGGUGCACAUGCACGCGAUGGAGGAAUAUAACAACGGGACAUAGCAAAGGCUACAUCAAUGUCAGGGGAAACCUCUGGAGCGAGGAAUUUGCAAGUGGCGACGCAGGGUGCCCUCGAUAAGAGGAUCAUGCGGUCAGUGAACAUUGAGAAGCCGAUCUUGGCCCACAAAGAAAGGGGUAACACAAAUCUCCAGAUGGAUGUGAUCACGAGAACCUAGUAUAGAGUUAGCAAAAUCAUUUAACCCGAAUAGAAGAGAUGUCAGAGUCCCAGAGUAUAGACGAGGAGUAAAAGAACCUAAUACCACCCAUUUGGCGAUGUGGGCCCGUAAGACACACAACCAUGUUAGUAAAACCGUUUUUCAAAGACUAGACUCAACUUCGGCCAAGGAGUUGGAAAGUGGAAUCCUACAGGCAGUCGGCUCUGAUACCAACUUGUGACGCCCCCGAUUCAAUCGUACACUAAUCAUACACGCAAAUGUGUACGAUCAAGAUCAGGGACUCACGGGAAGAUAUCACAACACAACUCUAGACACAAAUCAAAAUAAUACAAGCUUCAUAUUACAAGCCAGGGGCCUCGAGGGCUCGAAUACAAGCUCGAUACACAAGAGUCAGCGGAAGCAACAAUAUCUGAAUACAGACAUAAAGUUAGACAAGGAUGCCUUAAGAAGGCUAGCACAAACAUCAACGAUCGAAGAGGCAAGGCCUCCUGCCUGGGACCUCCUAACUGCUCCUGGUCGUCGACGGCCUCCAAGUAGUAGUAUCUGUCGGCGGUGGCAUCUGACUUCAAGGAUCCACCAUCUGGUUCCAUCAACCGGAAAGAAGAAGGAAGGGGAAAAAGGGGUAGCAAAGCAACCGUGAGUACUCAUCCAAAGUACUCGCAAGCAUCAGAUAUAUACUAAGUAUGCAUUGGUAUCAAAUGGAACGGUUGUAUCUAUGGACUAAACUGUAGAAUGCCAGAAUAGAGGGGAAGGCCUAGCCUAUCAAAGACUAGCAUCUUCAAGCAGCUCCAAGCAUCUUGCAGCAUGUAGAAGAGUAAAGAAUAGCAGUUUAAUUAUCAAGCAUGUUGUAGCAUUAAUGCCCAGAGAUCCUUCCUCGACUCCCUGCGAGAAAGCAAUCUCGGAGCCACAUAUCCAUCACAUAUCUCAAGUAUCCAUUUCUAGUUAUAUAAGAUCCGGAUACAAGUCUGAACGUCCAUUACCGUGGACACGGUAUUCGAAUAUAUAUCUUCCCUGCAGGGGUGCACCACGUUUUCCAACACGCUCGAUCACUCUGGCCGGACACACCUUUCUGGGGUCAAUGCCCGGCCUCGGAAGAUCAACACGUCGCAGCCCUACCUAGGCUCAGCAGAGAGGUCCCCGACGGUCUACAUCCUAAGCACUCCGGGGUCUGGGCCCAUCGCCCGUAGCACUCCGGGUCGUUACGUGCAGGGCGGGUCCAGGCUCCACCACUAUAGGAUGGUGCCGGCCCAGUCGUGCUGCAAUGUUGAACUGGACGUCUGACAAAGCUUCGGCUAAUACUGCGACGUCGAGGCCCAUAACUAUUCUCGCGUGGUGGUUAGUGCGUAAAGGCCAGAGGCCAAUUCAGAACAAAUACCCAAACCUGUUAGUGCAUUAACAAUUAAAAGUAGUGACGGCUUUCGGGACAAGUCCGGAGCAAUCACCCCCUCCUGGGUGAUACCGCUAAACAGCCAGCCGCCACCAUCACAUCACACGGGUGCUCUCCGGGCCCGCCCGGCUUUCACAACGGUCUCAAGUAAAGUCAAGGUAACUGUGUGUCCAAACAUCAAGGGGAAAACCCGAGGAAACACCCCCGGUGAAUUCCACUCAAUGUAAUCAUCAAGGUGAACGUAAGAGGGACCACCCUCGAGGUUCACACUUGAGGUGUUGAACGACAGAGCCGUAUUGAAAAUGGUGAAAGAGGAAAUCACCCUCGAUGACCACGACCGAAUACAUACACUACAGAAUUAUCAUCAAGAGUGUGUUAUGAGGGAUCACCCUCGGCACUCGAUAAUAGCUCUGCAGAGUCAAACAACAAAAGGGGCGUGAUGUGAUGUGAGGUGUCGGGCUCUGGUCGUCGAUCACGUUGAUCGAGUCAUCGAUGAUGAAGCAGGGGCAACAAGGACAAGGUGGAGGUCACUGAUGGAUCACUAACCAACCUAUACUAAGCAGUUUAGGAUAAGCAGGUAGGUAACAAUAGCAGAUACAAAAGCAAGCUAUGCAUCAGAAUAGGAGCAAUCAAUAACAGUAGCAAAAUCUAACGCAAGCAUGAGAGAAUGGAAUGGGCGAUAUCGGGAUGAUCAAAGGGGGGGGCUUGCCUGGAAGCUCCGCUGAAAGGAAAGAAGUGUCGUCGGUGACGUAGUCGAUCACAGAGGCAUCGGGAUCAGUCUCGGGAUCUACCAGAGAUAAGAGGGGGGAAGAAAUAGUAAAUACAAGCAACAGAUGCAUGACAAGACAAUAAGCAGUGCGAGGGGUGUUCUAACGCGGUGCUACACGAUACUGACAAAGGGGGAUAACAUCCGGGAAAGUUUUCCCUAAGUUUGGCAUUUUCGGAUAGAUGAACCGGAGGGGAAAUGUUCGAUGUUCGCUAUGCUAGGGGCAUGUGACAGAUGAACGGAGAGCGUAUACCAAUUCGUCUCGUCGUUCUAAGCAUCAUUCAUGUGUAAAACUUUUUCAUCCGAGUUACGGAUUAAUUUCUAUGGAUUUCUAAAGUUUUAGCAAUAUUCUAGAUUUUUAAAUUACUUCUAAUUUGAGUUGACCAAGUCAAUUUGACUAGUCAAAAAGGAGAGCUGUGACCCACAUGUCAUGGACUAUUUACCUAAAAAAAUAAGUAAACCUAACUUAUUUAAUGGGGGCCUACAUGUCAUCUACUAGUACUAGACUAACUUAGCACCGGUUAAUACUACUAGUUAAACCUAGUACUAAGAAGGGUCGGCCACUACUGGGUAGAACCUAGCCGGCCACAUGCACAGCGUACACACACAACACGCAAAGCUAGAGAAUAAAUAUGUUCUUUGUUUAACAGAAGAUAGCAAUUUAUGAUUUUCAUAGGAUGUAAUCCAUGCAUCAAGUGGAUUUGGUCCAAUGGAAACAUUUGAACCUUGUCAAGUGUACUACCUACUCAUAUUAUUUUUACACAUAUUAACAACUGUUUAACUGCUGAUUAGAGGCUGUUUAGGGGCUUAGUUGACGUAGAAAUUAAAAAGCUAACUAUGCAGCACCGCCAGUACUAGCAUCAGUACAGGCAGAGCAACGGUGGGCAGCGGCGUGGUGCGGGCGCGGCCAAGCGCUGGAGGGCGCGUGCGGGAGCACGGCCGGCACGGGGCACACAAGGGCAGCGACCGGAGGCGAGGCAGGACGAGGCCCGAACGCGGCGUCGCGAGCGACUGCAGGGCCUGAUGACGGCAGCAGCAAAGUAGCAGCUGCAUCAGCACAACAGCAGGCAGGGGAGGCGGCGCACGGCAAGCGGCUGGACACGCGCGGGGCGAGCAGAAGACCCCGGGCAGGCGCGACAAGUGCGAGGUCAAGGAGCCGCGGGCGCGUGACCAGGGCAUGGGGAGCACGGCAGAGCACGCGUGGGAGCGAGGCGGCUCAGACGCGCGAGCGCAGGCGCACAGGAGCGGACGGAGAGGUCCGGGCAGUGGUGACGUCCUACGGCGACGAGAAGAAAUAAAGGGGGAAGGGGGAAUGGACGGCGGCUCACAGCGGUGCCGGGGAGAAGCAUAGGGAGGCCGGAGAGGACGCGGCGCGGUAGAUCGACGACGAGGUCGCGGUGGCCGGGGUGGAGAAGAGUAGGUCGAAGGAGACGUUCGGUGGUUCCCCCGCCUUGAUCCAGGGGCGCAGGCGACGUGGUUGAAGAUGAGGGUCCUCCUGGACACCUCGGGUUGGCGAGGCCUGGCCGGUGGCCAUGGCUAUGGUGAGCGGUGGCGGCAGCUUUGCUCGGGGAAGGAGGAAGCGGCGCGAGUGGGGGAAGGGGAGUAGGGCUAGGGUUUGACAGGGAUAGAGAUGAGGGGGGGUUGGGGAUUGCUCUUAUCUAUUGGAGGAAGCCGCGGGAUAGCCGCCACGAGG